This 301-nucleotide ribosomal RNA is filed under the name uncultured bacterium. Its description in RNAcentral is "partial 16S ribosomal RNA". It matches the Rfam family "Bacterial small subunit ribosomal RNA", at positions 509 to 807 of the family's 1533-position model. The record is from RNAcentral.
CAGCCGCCGCGGUAAAACGGAGGGUGCAAGCGUUAAUCGGAAUUACUGGGCGUAAAGCGUGCGUAGGCGGUGAGUUAAGUCUGCUGUGAAAUCCCCGGGCUCAACCUGGGAAUGGCAGUGGAUACUGGCUCGCUAGAGUGUGUCAGAGGAUGGUGGAAUUCCCGGUGUAGCGGUGAAAUGCGUAGAGAUCGGGAGGAACAUCAGUGGCGAAGGCGGCCAUCUGGGACAACACUGACGCUGAGGCACGAAAGCGUGGGGAGCAAACAGGAUUAGAUACCCCCGUAGUCCCUGUCUCUUAUAC